Zalophus californianus (California sea lion) is the source of this 3979-nucleotide long non-coding RNA. RefSeq lists it as uncharacterized. The record is from RefSeq and is a predicted model, not a curated record. The transcript has 2 exons. NCBI's taxonomy places the organism in Eukaryota, Metazoa, Chordata, Mammalia, Carnivora, Otariidae.
ACCUGAGCCGAAGGCAGUCGCCCAACCAACUGAGCCACCCAGGCGCCCCAGGGCCACCAGCUCCUUCGAGAAUCUGAUGAAAACCAUGGUCCUUUUCCUGGAAAAAUGCACAUACAUGCUGGCAUUUUUUCGAUUAAUUUCAAGUAGUGCACAGAGCUGAAGCCCAUCAAGAAAUCCCAAAUUAAAAAUUAUUGUGCUUGUCUUUUUUUUUUUUGAGAUUCUUUCAAAUUCUGGAACUUCUUGAUUUGCUCUGAUGGAUAACAUCUGCUGUGAAGCAGUUAUAGGAGGAAUGAGAUUGACAUAUGUUCCUCAAGUGCCAGCAUAAUUUAUAGAUGUCUAGUAAAUGCUUUGUGCAUGUUAGCUCAGUUAAAUCCAGUUACAAAGGCAAAAAGACUAAUAGUUGAAAUCAGCAAGAAAUGCGGGUAACCCACCCAUUCCUCUAAUGCCCAAAAUUUGUGCAUUUCCUGCAUCGCUUCUUUCUGGCUGCUGUCAAGAUUUUUCUCUCUGUUCUUAGUUUUCAGAAGGUUGACUAUGAAGUGUCUUGGCAUGAAUAUGUUUGGGUCCUGUUUGGGGUUUGCUCAGCUUCUUAAACCUGUAGGUUUAUGUCUUUUCCCAAAUUUAGGUAAUUUUCAGCCAUUAUUUUUUCAAAUACUCUUUCAGCCCCAUCCCCUUUCUCCUUUCCUUUUGGGACUCCAGUGACCCAGUUGUUGGAUAUUCUGUUGCAGUCUCACUUGUCCCUAAGGCUUUUUAUCUUUUCAGUCUUUUUUCUCUGUUGUUCAGACUGGGUAAUUUCUCGUGUUCUAUCCUCAAGUUCACUGAUUGUUCCCAUGUAUGUUUUAGUUUUAAAUUUUCCAUUUGAUUUUCUUUGUAGCUUCUAUUUCUUCGAUGAGACUUGCUACUUUUUCAUUUGUGAAGUAUCUUUGUAAUUGUUCAUUGAACUUUUAUGAUGGCUGCUUCAAAAUCCUUGUCAUAAUUUUAACAUCUGUGUCAUUUCAGUAUUGGCAUCUCUUGAUUGUCUUGUCUCAUUCAAGUUGAGAUCUUCCUUGGAAUGAUUUUCCAUUAAUACCCGGACAUUUUGGGUAUCAUAUCAAAAAGACUGGCUCAUCUUAAAAGGUUGUAUUUUAGCAGGCCUUCUCUGACAAUGCUGCCUCAGGGCAAGGGAGGUUGUUGCCUCCUUACUGCCAGAUACAGGUAGAUGUGCAGGGAUUCCUCAUUACUGUUCCCCACGUGCCCUCCAGUGACCCCAAAGGUGGGGUCCAAACUUCCUACAUGGCCUCCACUGGCCCAUGGCCAUUGGCAUUUCUGGGUUGCCAGCUUCAGAGUACCUAGUACCUAGUCAGAGAUCUAUGAGGAAAAAGAAAAUCCAGAAAAUUCACUACUAUGUCUUUCUUCUGGUCCUGAGGUUCCUAGCUGACCUGCCUUCUUUCCACCUUUCAGAAUCUUAUUGAUUGAUUGAUUGAUUGAUUGACUGAUUGAUCAUGACCUGAGCUGAAACUAAGAGUCAGUCACCCAACCGACUGAGCCACUCAGGUGCCCUUCCUUUCAGAAUCUUCUUAUGUUUGUUUUAUACAUAAUGUCCAGGGUUCUUAGCUGUAUUUAGUGAAAGAAAUAGGAGAAAGGAUGUCUACUCCCAUCUUCCUGGAAGCAGAAGUCUCCUCAGCGCAUAUUUAAAGAGUGAAUUUUCUAGAGAAAAAAUGCCAGGUAAAGGAUUGAUUCAGGAUAUUUCACUUAACAGACCUUUGUCUUGUGAUCCAUGUCUGCCCUCUCCUCUUCACCCAUCCAUCAUAUUAUUUGUUUCUGUAUUUACUCAAAAAGCUCAAUUAAGGAGUAUGACUAACAAUGAAGAAUGCAGGAGUGCAGAUGAAGUUUGAAGAAAGCUGUAUCCAUAUUUUGUCUCAGCAACAAGAGUGUAAGGACAGCUUCUUUAAAAACUGAUCUGAUACCAAAUGUACCAACUGUGAAGGAACCAGCUAGAUCCAAGAAAUCUCAAAAGCUAAACAUCAUGUGCACCUUCACCCUCUUAGGCUUUCUAAGCUCUGCAAAAGCUUGUCAAAUGCCAUUUCCAACUUUGGAUAAAGGAAAAAUGAUGUAGCUAUACAGCCUGAAGCACAUAAUGAAGGGAGAAGAAUUCUCUGUGUACAAACCAUCUCCCUCCCAAAGACUCAAAUACUCUCUUUGUGGUAUCACAAUAGAGGUGAAGAAAGAGCCUAACCUCUGAAAUCCAACAGACAUAGAUAACCAGGCUCCACCACUUAAAAUUUGAUCUUGGGCAAGUCACUUCUUUUAAAUUUCUGUCUCCCUAUUUGUUAAAUGGUGAUAAUAACAGCACCUACCUCAUAGAUAAAUGAGGAAUACAUAAAAUAUUAAGUGCAAAAGGCUUGGCAGGCUUAAGGUCCUUAUUACUGGUAUUUGGAGAUAUUUUCUAGAUGGGGGAAAAUACUUGAUAAGCAUCAAUUUUGUACUUAUAGGGGCACCUGGGUGGCUCAGUCAUUAAGCGUCUGCCUUUGGCUCAAGUCAUGAUCCCAGGGUCCUGGGAUCGAGCCCCACAUCGGGCUCCCUGCUCUGUGGGAAGCCUGCUUCUCCCUCUCCCACUCCCCCUGCUUGUGUUCCCUCUCACUGUGUCUCUCUCUGUCAAAUAAAUAAAUAAAAUCUUUAAAAAAAAAAUUUGUACUUAUAUAUUACACAAAUCCCAUAUUAAAUAGUCACUAUAUUUUAGUUUUGACAUUUUCCCUGAGUAUUUGUUUUCUUUAUCAUAAUCUACCAUUGUAGGCUUACAAACUGAUAAAACUCAAAGACGUGUGAAUAUAAGAAAAUUUGGCUUCCCUAAAACUUCCCAAAUUUUGAAGAGAAAAAAAGAAAAGAAUUGAUCCUGUUUUAGUAAUUCCCAAUGUGUUGACCAUAGGUCUUUACUAAUUGACACAAAAGCUUAGCAGUAACUGCUUCAUCAUUUAAGGAGAUACAAGGAAUUUGAUUCUGCUUGUUCUGGAAAAUAGCAGAUUGGGUCUAUAUUCCGCUAGGAAAAGUGCUCUGACAAUUCUCAUCUCCUUAGAAGUCAUUAAGAUAUAAGCAACGUAAAAUUUGUUUAAUGUUUGUUUCCUGUAGGGAGUGGAGAGGGAGCCCUUAUUUAGACUUAUUGAUCCCAGUCAGAAUUUUUAUUCUUAGGUGAGAACAGGCCCAAGUCAAUAAAUAUGUGUAUAGGAAUAGCAUGUUUCAAAUUUUUCUAAUUUUUAAUAACUUCAUUUUUCUAAAUCAUUUAUGUGAUUAAAUAAUAGACAUCUAAUAACUAAAUGCAAAAGGCAGAAGACCAGGAAAAUGUGAUUGCUGCAAAACACUAAAAUGUGGUUUGAUUUUCCAUUGAUUUGUAAUAUAAGAGCAACAAUACCCUCUCACAUAUUUCCACUGAGUCCAUUAUAUAUGGGUGAUUAAAAUUUUGAAAAUAUUAUUUGGCACUUGAUAAUCUGAAAUGAAAUUAUGAAAUUUUAUAUACAAGAGGGUUAAUUAUUUUUAAAGGGCUAAUCAUGUAGCACUUUGUUAAACAUUGGGAUUAUAAAAUAUAUUCCUCAAUAUUAAUCAAGAUAAUUAUGCUCUGGAUAAAUGUGCAUAAAUCACUUAACAAAAGAAUUUAAAAGCAGGCAUGAUCACCAAGAACAGAAAGUAUACCCUAUUCUAUUUCAGAUGAUUUGUCAGAACAACCCUUUCAUUUUAAAUUACCAGGGCAUUUCGAUAGCAACAUAAAACAAUUUUAUGGGUCCUGUGAUGACUUGUGCCCACUCUCACUUGUUUAAUCAACAUUUUUCAAGACAUCACUGCAAUUUAGAAAGAAAAAAAUAACUAACAGGCAGUUGUCCUUGAGCCAAUAAUUUAACCUACACAAUUACUUCAGUAAUGUCUAAAAGAUUUCCUUGUGAUAGAAUUUUGUGGUUCCAUAAAAGGAGUUUUACUAAUUUCAAAACUAAUAAAGUCUACUGUGUUAAAAAUA